GGGAAUGUGGCUUAGUGGUAGAGUGCUUGCCUAACAUGCAUGAAGCCCUGGGUUAGAUUCCUCAGUACCA
RNAcentral lists this transfer RNA (70 nucleotides) under Dipodomys ordii (Ord's kangaroo rat). It matches the Rfam family "tRNA". Rfam says of the family: Transfer RNA (tRNA) molecules are approximately 80 nucleotides in length. Lineage: Eukaryota; Metazoa; Chordata; Mammalia; Rodentia; Heteromyidae. The record is from Rfam by way of RNAcentral.